GUGCUCGCUUCAGCUGCACAUAUACUAAAAUUGGACUAAUACAGAGAAGAUUAGCAUGGCC
Molecule: small nuclear RNA, 61 nt
Filed under: Prolemur simus (greater bamboo lemur)
Lineage: Eukaryota; Metazoa; Chordata; Mammalia; Primates; Lemuridae
Source: RNAcentral